RNAcentral lists this ribosomal RNA (253 nucleotides) under uncultured bacterium. RNAcentral describes it as "partial 16S ribosomal RNA". It matches the Rfam family "Bacterial small subunit ribosomal RNA", at positions 524 to 776 of the family's 1533-position model. The record is from RNAcentral.
UACGGGGGGGGCAAGCGUUGUUCGGAAUUACUGGGCGUAAAGGGCUCGUAGGUGGCCAACUAAGUCAGACGUGAAAUCCCCAGGCUCAACUUGGGAACUGCGUCUGAUACUGGAUGGCUUGAAUCCGGGAGAGGGAUGCGGAAUUCCAGGUGUAGCGGUGAAAUGCGUAGAUAUCUGGAGGAACACCGGUGGCGAAGGCGGCAUCCUGGACCGGCAUUGACGCUGAGGAGCGAAAGCCAGGGGAGCAAACGGG